This 696-nucleotide ribosomal RNA is filed under the name uncultured bacterium. RNAcentral describes it as "bacterial SSU rRNA". It matches the Rfam family "Bacterial small subunit ribosomal RNA", at positions 32 to 715 of the family's 1533-position model. The record is from RNAcentral.
AACGCUAGCUACAGGCUUAACACAUGCAAGUCGAGGGGAAACGACAUCGAAAGCUUGCUUUUGAUGGGCGUCGACCGGCGCACGGGUGAGUAACGCGUAUCCAACCUGCCCACCACUUGGGGAUAACCUUGCGAAAGUAAGACUAAUACCCAAUGAUAUCUCUAGAAGACAUCUGAAAGAGAUUAAAGAUUUAUCGGUGAUGGAUGGGGAUGCGUCUGAUUAGCUUGUUGGCGGGGUAACGGCCCACCAAGGCAACGAUCAGUAGGGGUUCUGAGAGGAAGGUCCCCCACAUUGGAACUGAGACACGGUCCAAACUCCUACGGGAGGCAGCAGUGAGGAAUAUUGGUCAAUGGACGAGAGUCUGGACCAGCCAAGUAGCGUGCAGGAUGACGGCCCUAUGGGUUGUAAACUGCUUUUAUAAGGGAAUAAAGUGAGCCUCGUGAGGCUUUUUGCAUGUACCUUAUGAAUAGGGACCGGCUAAUUCCGUGCCAGCAGCCGCGGUAAUACGGAAGGUCCGGGCGUUAUCCGGAUUUAUUGGGUUUAAAGGGAGCGUAGGCCGGAGAUUAAGCGUGUUGUGAAAUGUAGACGCUCAACGUCUGCACUGCAGCGCGAACUGGUUUCCUUGAGUACGCACAAAGUGGGCGGAAUUCGUGGUGUAGCGGUGAAAUGCUUAGAUAUCACGAAGAACUCCGAUUG